AGGGUUUGAUCAUGGCUCAGAACGUACGCUGGCGGCACGCCUAACACAUGCAAGUCGAGCGGGGUAGCAAUACCUAGCGGCAGACGGGUGCGUAACAUGUGGGAAUCUGCCUUUUGGUUCGGAACAACACGGGGAAACCUGUGCUAAUACCGGAUAAGUCCUUACGGAGAAAGUUUUAAUGCCAAAAGAUGAGCCCGCAUUUGAUUAGCUAGUUGGUGAGGUAAGAGCUCACCAAGGCGAUAAUCAAUAGCUGAUUUGAGAGGAUGAUCAGCCACACUGGGACUGAGAUACGGCCCAGACUCCUACGGGAGGCAGCAGUGGGGAAUCUUGCACAAUGGGCGAAAGCCUGAUGCAGCGAUGCCGCGUGAGUGAAGAAGGCCCUUGGGUUGUAAAGCUCUUUCGUCGGGGAAGAAAAUGACUGUACCCGAAUAAGAAGGUCCGGCUAACUUCGUGGCAGCAGCCGCGGUAAUACGAAGGGACCUAGCGUAGUUCGGAAUUACUGGGCUUAAAGAGUUCGUAGGUGGUUGAAAAAGUUGGUGGUGAAAUCCCAGAGCUUAACUCUGGAACUGCCAUCAAAACUUUUCAGCUAGAGUAUGAUAGAGGAAAGCAGAAUUUCUAGUGUAGAGGUGAAAUUCGUAGAUAUUAGAAAGAAUACCAAUUGCGAAGGCAGCUUUCUGGAUCAUUACUGACACUGAGGAACGAAAGCAUGGGUAGCGAAGAGGAUUAGAUACCCUCGUAGUCCAUGCCGUAAACGAUGUGUGUUAGACGUUGGAAAUUUAUUUUCAGUGUCGCAGCGAAAGCGAUAAACACACCGCCUGGGGAGUACGACCGCAAGGUUAAAACUCAAAUGAAUUGACGGGGACCCGCACAAGUAGUGGAGCAUGUGGUUUAAUUCGAAGAUACGCGCAGAACCUUACCAACACUUGACAUGUUCGUCGCGACUCUAAGAGAUUAGAGUUUUCGGUUCGGCCGGACGAAACACAGGUGCUGCAUGGCUGUCGUCAGCUCGUGUCGUGAGAUGUUGGGUUAAGUCCCGCAACGAGCGCAACCCUCACUUUUAGUUGCCAUCAUUAAGUUGGGCACUCUGAAAGAACUGCCAGUGAUAAGCUGGAGGAAGGUGGGGAUGACGUCAAGUCCUCAUGGCCCUUACGUGUUGGGCUACACACGUGCUACAAUGGUAUCUACAACAGGAAGCAAGACUGCGAAGUUAAGCAAAUCCCUAAAAGAUACCUCAGUUCGGAUUGCACUCUGCAACUCGAGUGCAUGAAGCUGGAAUUACUAGUAAUCGUGGAUCAGCGUGCCACGGUGAAUGCGUUCCCGGGUCUUGUACACACCGCCCGUCACACCAUGGGAGUUGGUUCUACCUUAAGGCAAGGUUUCAAACCCUUGACCACGGUAUAGUCAGCGACUGGGGUGAAGUCGUAACAAGGUAACCGUA
RNAcentral lists this ribosomal RNA (1438 nucleotides) under uncultured bacterium. Its description in RNAcentral is "16S ribosomal RNA". It matches the Rfam family "Bacterial small subunit ribosomal RNA". The record is from RNAcentral.